RNAcentral lists this long non-coding RNA (1328 nucleotides) under Anolis carolinensis (green anole). RNAcentral's name for it is "lncRNA (ENSACAG00000040358.1)". Lineage: Eukaryota; Metazoa; Chordata; Lepidosauria; Squamata; Anolidae. The record is from RNAcentral.
AGGCCCUAUAUUCCAGGAUCUGAUCCCAGGUUUUCUGCUUUAAACUGGAUUUAUAGGUUCACACUGCCAGAUAACUAGGAUAAUUAAGAAAACCUGGAUCAGAUCCUGGGAUAUAGAGCCUGUUUGGCAGGACCCCAAGAGAUAUUAAAGAGAAAACUAAGGGUAGUGAUGAUCAUAGUUGUUUUUCUCACCCAUUACUCAGGUGUCAUCAGCUUCAUAGUCAUUUUGGUGGUGAUCGUAGUCAUCCUGGUCUGUGUGGUCAGCUUAAGAUUCAAGUGCCAUCACUGUAAAGAUACAAAAGCAGAUAAAAAGAAACCUCAGCAUCCGGUAGUAUCCUAUAGGUAAUAAUAUUACUUGCAUUUUUUGUGUAUGUUACAAAUGAAAUAUUCCUGCUGCUAACUACGUUAGUUUCCAUUUGCUUUCUUACAUUGUUUCUGAACUAUGUUCUAUUGUCGCUCCAAAGAAAAUUCGAGCAAGAUUAUAUAAUUUUAUGAAUGUACAUUAAUUACAACCAGUGUACUAGGAUUGACAGCCAAACAUUUCCCUUUCUCUCCAUUAUGCAGCCACUGAUACCAAUAUGACAGAUAAUUUUUCUGAAUGUGAAAGUAGACUGAUAAAACAAAAUUGAAUUUCCUAAAAAUUACGUAGAUGUUUGGAUUACCCCAAAUUUUAAAAUAAUAACCAGUCCCAUUAAGGCCUGCACUGGUUAUAAAUUGUAUUGCCCCGUUGCCCUUUUUCUCAUUCAGCUUAUUUCAGUGCCUUUUUCACUCACCAUUGCUGUUUUCCUUCCUACGGUUUUCGUUUUCAGGAUCUUUUUGGAUUCUUAAGGGUGGUAAUAGUUACUUAGGGUUUCAAUACACGAGGAGGGGGAGGGGGACAGGUAAUAUAUACAUAUGCUCUGAAGAAAGUUAUAAAGUUUCCUUUUUCUACACUGCCCUCAACUGCUGAACACCUAUCAUGACACUGAAUUUGGUGGGUGGGUGAAAUACAGUAUUUAUCUGGUGGAGAUGUAUAAUUGCAUGCUUUUUAAGAAUAGGGGUGGGAAGAGAUGGUCUUAAAGUAAAAUGUUAGAAUCAGUGUGAGAAUCCAUUUAGCAUUUUAGUUAAAUAAGGUGGUGAGGAGAAUGCAGAAAUGGAAAGAACGGAUCCUAGUUACUUCUGAAACAUAUUAUGGCAUAUAUUUCUGUACGUGGCCCCACUAUAUUCCUUAUUUAUUUAUUUCUUACAAACAAAUUAUGAACUCUCUAAUUUAGGUCAAAGUUCCUGAAAUAAACCUCAAACACUAGGUUUGAAAAACCUAGCUGCCCCCCUAAUGUGGAAGUAUGUAAG